This is a non-coding RNA of Chiloscyllium plagiosum (whitespotted bambooshark), 846 nucleotides long. Lineage: Eukaryota; Metazoa; Chordata; Chondrichthyes; Orectolobiformes; Hemiscylliidae. The record is from RefSeq and is a predicted model, not a curated record.
UGGAGGACCUGUAGAGAAAGUAGAGCAGGAGUUAGGGGCAUGACUGUUGCUUCUGGUCCUGUUCCUCAAACCACCUCCUUCCCUAACACAAUGCACUGAUCAGAAUUCCCAACAAACACAAAACACAGAGUAAGUGACAGGAAGGAGACGAACAUUUGGAACUUGCCCGGAGAGCAGGCGAACUUUACUGGAUCCCGAACGAUCCUCUACCCCCUCCCUCCCUCCACCUCGGCACAAAAGUGGCGUAAGCUCCUCCUCUUGUGUUCUUCUGGAGCGAGAUCGAUUUCAUACCAAAUCUCAUUGUUGAAAUUCCACCUCCGCUGUCAACUUCGGGAAAUAUUUGUUUAAAAAAAAAUCACCUCGAGACGAGUUUUUGGUUGAUUUUAAAGAAAACAAACGAAGCGAUUUUUAAGAAGUGGGGGAAAACUUUUCAGCUCUAUAUCUCCCCCCCCCCCCCCCCAAACCAACUCCGUUUAUGUAACACGGACACUUUCUAAGAGAGAGAGAGCGGCGGAAAGUUUUUCAACGUUUGUUCCUGCCCUUCAGAAACAUUUUUGUUGGCGGUGCUGUUGCGAAGCUGACGAUUGGUUUUUUUUUUGUACCUGCGGAAAGGAACAAAAAUAUACCAGCCCACCCCAGCGUUGUGUUGAUCCGGAGGUUAACUGGAGGAUAUCCCAAGGUUUAAUUUUGGGAAGGGGGAAGGCUUUAUCAGGGUUUCUCUUCAGUGACCACCGGCUCUCGUUGGAGCCCCACCAACUGCCACAAUUGCGUCCAACGAUUGGAAUGGGAGUGGGAGCCCUGGAGAGGGCAGGCAGGAUGGGGGAGAUGGCUUGGAAAAAUCGUUGG